This 497-nucleotide ribosomal RNA is filed under the name uncultured bacterium. RNAcentral describes it as "partial 16S ribosomal RNA". It matches the Rfam family "Bacterial small subunit ribosomal RNA", at positions 28 to 507 of the family's 1533-position model. The record is from RNAcentral.
GAUGAACGCUGGCGGCGUGCCUAAUACAUGCAAGUCGAGCGAACAGACGAGGAGCUUGCUCCUCUGACGUUAGCGGCGGACGGGUGAGUAACACGUGGAUAACCUACCUAUAAGACUGGGAUAACUUCGGGAAGCCGGAGCUAAUACCGGAUAAUAUAUUGAACCGCAUGGUUCAAUAGUGAAAGACGGUUUUGCUGUCACUUAUAGAUGGAUCCGCGCCGCAUUAGCUAGUUGGUAAGGUAACGGCUUACCAAGGCGACGAUGCGUAGCCGACCUGAGAGGGUGAUCAGCCGUGCAUGAACUGAAACAAGGUCCGGACUCAUACGGGAGGCAGCCGUAGGGAAUCUUCCGCUAUGGGCGAAAGCCUUACGGCGCAACUCCGCGUGAGUGAUGAAGGUCUUCGGAUCGUAAAACUCUGUUAUUAGGGAAGAAAAAAUGUGUAAGUAACUAUGCACGUCUUGACGGUACCUAAUCAGAAAGCCACGGCUAACUACGUG